RNAcentral lists this ribosomal RNA (459 nucleotides) under uncultured bacterium. RNAcentral describes it as "bacterial SSU rRNA". It matches the Rfam family "Bacterial small subunit ribosomal RNA", at positions 12 to 507 of the family's 1533-position model. The record is from RNAcentral.
UUUGAUCAGUGGCUCGAGAUGAACGCUGGCGGCGUGCCUAAUACAUGCAAGUCGUGCGGAAAGGCCACUUCGGUGGUACUCGAGCGGCGGACGGCAGAGUAACGCGUAGGAACAUACCCCAAACUGAGGCAUAACUGCUCGAAAGAGCAGCUAAUACCGCAUGUGAUCUUCGGAUUAAAGCUUCGGCGGUUUGGGAAUGGCCUGCGUCCGAUUAGCUAGUUGGUGAGGUAAAUGCUCACCAAGGCUUCGAUCGGUAGCUGGUCUGAGAGGAUGAUCAGCCUGACUGGAACUGAGAACGGUCCAGACUCCUACGGGAGGCAGCAGUAGGGAAUUUUCCACAAUGGGCGAAAGCCUGAUGGAGCAACGCCGCGUGCAGGAUGAAUGCCUUCGGGUUGUAAACUGCUUUUAUUAGUGAAGAAUAUGACGGUAACUAAUGAAUAAGGGUCGGCUAACUACGUG